AAGUUUGAUUUUGGUCAACAUUUUGAGUAAACGAUCAUAAAAUCGGAAUUUGACGGUUCCAAUAGGUUCGUAUGAUAAUUUCGGACUUGAGCGUAUGUUCGGAUCGAAUUUUGGAUGAUCCGGGAGCGCAGAGCCUAAUAAUGAAAGUUGGCAUUUUGAGCAAAUUCAAUAAGUUUGGGUUGAAAUGGAUUGUUACAUUCUAGACGUCUGUUUGGGAUUCCGAGCCUGGGAAUAGCUUCAUAUGAUGAUUCUGAACUUAGAAGCACGUCCAGAAGUAGAUUUGGAGGUCUGUAGGUCGUUUCGAAGUCAUUUGGAAAAAAUUAAAAACUUGAAGUUUUUAGAAAGUUUGACCAAGGGUGGACUUUUUAUAUCGGGUUCGAAUUUCAGUUUCGGAAGUUGGAGUAGGUCCAUAAUGUCAUUUAAGACUUGCACGCAAAAUUUAGCAUCAUUCCGAGUUGGUUUGAUAGGAAUCAGAUGCGCGGAAGUAUUUUUAGAAGUUUUUGAGUUCAUGAGUAAAUUCAUGCAUUUUGGCGUCCAAUUCGUGGUUUUUGAUGUUAUUUCAGUGCUUCGAUCGCACGAGCAAGUUUCUAUGAUAUUUUUAGACUUGUGUGGGUGUUUAGUGUGGAUCCCCGAGGGCUCGGGUGAGUUUCAAACGUUUGGAAAUGAUGAAACACACACCAGAUUUCUAGUUUUUCUUGGCAUCAGUCGCUGGUCUCGCAAAUGCUAACCUCGCAUUUGCAAGAAGAGCUUCACAAUUGCGAAGAAGCUCGACUGGGCCAUUUUUUGCAUUUGCAACACGUGAGCCGCAUUUGCAACCUCAAAAGUGAUCGCAUUUGUGACCCCUCCGUCGCAUUUGCAACCUUAGCAGCUGAAGUCAGGCUUCGCAUUUGCGAGAGUUUUGUCGCAUUUGUGACCCUCGCAUUUACGAACCUGCUGUCGCAAAUGCGACAUCAGAGGCCUGUGCCCUGCUCAUUUAAUGCCGGACUUAGGCCAUUUAUUUCAUUUCAGUUCAUCUCUUGGGCGAUUUUUGGAGCUUUUGGAAGAGGGUUUUCAGUUUGCACUUUGAGGUAAGUAAUUUCUACACAACAUGAGUUAAAUACAUAGAUUAUGGGUAGAUUAACUUGUAAAAAUUAGUGAAAAUCAAGGGUUUAGAUGAAUACUUAGGUUUUUGAUAAAAAUGAGAUUUGAACACGAAAUUGGUUAUGGAACUUAGUAAAAAUCAUAUAUUUAUGUUCCUAAGGUUAUGGGUAACAACUUUCUUCAAAAAUAUCCGGAAUCUGGGCACGUGGGCCUAGGGGUAAAUUUUAGGAAUCUUGAAUUUAGAGUUGGGUAAUCACUUUAAUAAUGGGGAUAUGAACUUUUGAGCACAAAUUGAUUAAUUUAUAUAAUAUUUGACUAGUUUCGAGUUGUUUGACACCAAAUUUGGAGGUUUGAGUACCUUUUUGAACCGGGAAGUAGGCUUUGAGACGAGGUAAGUCUCUUUUCUAACCUUGUAAGAGAGAGUUUACCCCAUAGGUGAACUUAAUUAAUAUGUGUUAUGAAUUGUGGGGGCUACGUACGCACGAAGUGACGAGAGUCCGUACGUAGAUACUAUUCCUAUUUAUGUCCGGGUAGUUUUAGGUUUACACCAUGCUUUGUGGAUACCGUUAUUUGAUUAUAAUUGUUAAUUGUAACGAGUGAAACUAAGUAGAGGAUUUUUAAGAAUUUAAAAGCUUCAAGUUAAAUUGUCUUUAUUUUGAAAAGAAUCAAGAAAGGGUUGUAAUUUAUUGAUAAAUUUAUAUUUGACCGCGUCGCAAGUAUAUUCCGCGAGCGGGGUGAUUCUUUCCACUAUUUUCAUGGGAGCGGGUCAUUCGCCUUGGAAGGUUAAUAGAUAUAUCUAUGGUUCGUGCCGUUCGACCCUCGGCAGUGCACAAUUUAUAUUUAUGUUGGAUUGGGUCAUACGUCCAUGGUAGAAUUCGUGCGUGAUAAUAGAACUGGAAGUACCUUUCAUAAUUGGUAUUAAUUUAUUGAUUGAGAGAUCAUUUGUUUUAAAUGAAGGAAGUGAUUUGGGUUCCUAAACAUGGUGAAAGAAUUGUUCAGUUAUUUCUUGUUCUGAGUUUUUAUUGUUAUCUCUAUAUAUCAUGCUUAAUUAGAAUUUCAUAUUAUCAUAUUGUUGGCCCUUAGUAAGUGUUGGAGUCGAUCCCUCGUCACUACUUAUUCGAGGUUAGACUAGAUACUUACUGGGUACAUAUUAUUUAUGUACUCACGCUACACUUCUGUACUUAAUUGUACAUGAUCUAAGGCAUGUGCAUCUGGUUACCAGUCCGGCGCGCAAAUUUGAUCCCCAUUUCGAGACUUCACGGUGAGCUGCCUUCCAAGCCGUUCUGCAGCAGCUGGAGUCUCCCUUAUGUUAUAUUUUUCUAUCUGUUUCCUUUCAGACAGUAGACUAGUAUUCUUUUGUAUAUUCUACUAGAAUGCUCACACACUUGUGACACCAGGUCUUGGCACACACACACUAGUAAACUUAUGAUUUUGGAUUUGCUUUCAUGAUUAUGAUUUGUACUCAUUUGUUUCCGUUAGUUUAUAUUACAUUUGCAAAUUUCUAAAUCUUUUUAACAAAUGAGGAAAUGUCAUCCACUUAGUAAUUUAUUCAAAAACGGGAAACCACUAGUUUGAUCAGUGUUGGCUUGCCUAACAAUGAUGUUGGGUACCAUCGCGGCCUAUAAUGGACUUGGGUCAUUACACCAUGACUAUUGUUCAUUAGUUUAUUUUUUAUGGCACCCGAAUUCAAGCAUAUGGCGUGGACUAUAGCACACGAAAAUUUAAAAAUCGGCACGAAUUCCAGUUUUUGGCCCUAAAAUGCCAAAAAAUGAGGAACGGUCUUGCCGAAGCCAUUAUUGUAAUUCAUUAAUCAUUUUUGAUGGCCCCGCAAAAUUUUAGACGAUUCGUAUCCAAUAGCCCCGAUUCAUGCAAAUAGCGAAAUAUAGCACACGAAAAUUUAGAAAUCGACCCGAAUUUCAGUUUUCUGGCCGUAAAAUACCGAAAAAAAGGAAUGGUCAAGUUGAAGCCAUAACUAUUUUUCAUUAGGUUAUUUAUUAUGGCCCCGAAAAAUAUUAGGCGAUUCAGAUUUGGAAGCCCGAAUUCAUGGAGAUGUGAACUAUAGCACAUGAAAAUUUGGAAAUUGAACAAAAUUCUAAUUUUUUUUGCCUAAAAUGCCAAAAAACAAGGAACGGUCAUGUUGAAGACAUGAUUAUUGUUCAUUAUGUCCUUUUUGAUUCCCGGAUUCAUGUAGAUGGCAUGUACUGGAAUUUCGCCUGCUUCUCAGAUUUUCGUGUGCUAUAGUCCACACCUCCUACAUGGACCAGGGCGACCAGAUCUGAAUCACCUAAAAAUUUUCCAACCCAUCAAAUAUGGACUAAGGAACAAUAACCACAACCUCGCCAUGACCGUUACUCGCUUUUUGGUAUUUUAGGGCCAUAAAACUGGAAUUCUGCUCGACCUAGAUUUUCGUAUGCUAUAGCCCACACCUCCUACAUGGGGCAGAGCAACCGGACCCAGAUCGCCGAACUUUUUGGCCCAUAAAAAAUGACCUAAGGAACAAUAGUCACCGCCUCGCCAUGACCGUUACUCAUUUCUUGGCGUCUUAGGGCCAUAAAAUUGAAAUUUUGCCAGAUUUCUAGAUUUUCAUGUGCUAUAGUCCAUGCCUCAUGCACAGGCUCGGACGACCAUAUCCGGAUCACCUAAAGUUUUUUUGGCCCAUCAAAGAUGACCUUAGGAACAAUAGUAACUGCCUCGCCAUAACCGUUACUCAUUUCUUGGUGUUUUAGGGCCAUAAAACUGGAAUUUCAUCUGAUUUCCAGAUUUUCGUGUGUUAUAGCCCACGCCUCCUACUUGUGUAAAAGCGUCCCGACCCGGAUAGCCUAAAAUUUUGCCAGCCUAUCAAAUACGACCUAAGGAACAUUAUUCACCACCUCGUCUAGACCGUUACUCAUUUUUUUGGCGGUUUAGGGCUAUAACAUUGGAAUUUCGCCCGAUUCCUAGAUUAGUCGUAUGCUAUAGCCCACACCUCUUGCAUGAACCAGGGCGACUGGACCCGGAUCGCCAAAAUUUUUUCCGGCCCAUCAAAAACGAUCUAAGGAAUUUUAGUCACUGCCUCGCCAUGAUCGUUACUCACUUUUUGGCAUUUUAGGGCCACAAAAUUAGAAUUCCGCCUGAUUCACAUAUUUUUGUAUGCUACAGCCCAAGCCUCCUACAUGGACUGGGAUGACCAGACCAGAUAGCCUAAAAUUUUAUCGGUCUAUAAGAAAUAACCUAAAGAAUUAUCAUCGUCUCGCCAGGCCCGCUGUCACACCUCCUUUUUACGCACCCGCGAGGGGAGAAGGGAGUUUUUCCAAUUAAAGGACAAUCGAAACGGGAUUUAUUUAUUUAUUUAUUUCAGAGUCACCACUUGGGAGAUUUAGGGUGUCCCAAGUCACCAAUUUUAAUCCCGAAUCAAGGAAAAGGAUGACUCCAUAUUACAGUCUGGUACCAGAAAUCCGGAUAAGGAAUUCUGUUAACCCGGGAGAAGGUGUUAGGCAUUCCCGAGUUCCGUGGUUCUAGCACGGUCGCUCAACUGUUAUAUUCGGUUUGAUUAUCUGAUUUUAUACAAAUAUGAACUUAUGUGCUAAUUUUAACUCCUGGCCGCUUUUAUUAUUAUUUUUUACGAGAAUUGCAACGUCGUGAAAAUAUAUCUAGAACCACGUUACAUCAAUGCACCCGUGAUUAUUGACAUAUCUCGACUCGGUUGAGAUUUGGAUUUGGGUCACAUAAAUGUGCACCCGAAUUAAGAAAAAUAAAUUAUUAAGACGCGCCUAAAGCAACUAACGUAGUGUUAUUUUGGGGAAGGCCGCAAAAUUCGCUAAACGGCCUGUCCCGAAUUCUAAGUAUUUUAAUAUAUAUAUACAUUCAGAGGGCCCACAGCUUUGUACAUUUUUGUUCGUCGAGGCUCGUCUCAUUCUUAUUUUUNNNNNNNNNNNNNNNNNNNNNNNNNNNNNNNNNNNNNNNNNNNNNNNNNNNNNNNNNNNNNNNNNNNNNNNNNNNNNNNNNNNNNNNNNNNNNNNNNNNNNNNNNNNNNNNNNNNNNNNNNNNNNNNNNNNNNNNNNNNNNNNNNNNNNNNNNNNNNNNNNNNNNNNNNNNNNNNNNNNNNNNNNNNNNNNNNNNNNNNNNNNNNNNNNNNNNNNNNNNNNNNNNNNNNNNNNNNNNNNNNNNNNNNNNNNNNNNNNNNNNNNNNNNNNNNNNNNNNNNNNNNNNNNNNNNNNNNNNNNNNNNNNNNNNNNNNNNNNNNCCGAUGCGGGCCUGCUUGGUCUGUUUCGACCUGGGCUCGACCCCCGUGAGGUUGAGGCUGUGAACUUGUUCUUUGUUCUAAAGGCGCGGUUUAUCAGUUAUAACGGGAUAAUUCAUUAAUGGGAAAAGCAGUUAACUAAUGAUGAAUAGUUUUCGUGCGUUACUGGACAUGCUAAUCACAAACACAACUAAUUUCUGAGCUACAUCCUACUACAUGGUCGAAAUUUUUUAUCCAACAGCCUACACACACAAUUCGAUGUCAAGUUACCCUACAUUGACAAUUGCUAUGUGUGAAAGCUAACUCAGUAUCCGAGCCAAAAUGUAAACUAUCAUACAUCACAUAACGUUCAAUGUACAGGCUAUACAUAAAAUAAACGAUCUUCAACUCUUCUCUUUGUAUUCAUACUCAACUUCAUAUUACAUUGACAGUAUUAGUCGUGUACCUGGAUGUUUGAACAAUAAAGAGGAGAAGAAGAAAGAUGUCAGCAACAGGCAACCAAGCAGUAACAACACAGCAACAACAACCAACAACAAUAACCAGCCACAAUUAUGAAGCCCACAAGUGAUAGAGCACCAAGCAGAAAAUCCCAGACAGAGUAGAAAACAACCGAGAAAACCAGAAUGUUCAAGGCAAUAGCAACAUCAAUCCAAUGAUCACAAACAGCUUGGCAAAUAACCAACAACAAUUGGCCAAGACAGCUUGACCAACUUGAACUCUUAUGUAAUUUUCAGACAGUGUUUGGUUACAAUAUUCUGAGACUUUAUGUUUCUUGUUUUCUCUGAAGACUAAAAAAUGUCCCCCCCUUUUAUGUUCUGAAACAGCUCUAUUUAUAGGCAGAAAUGGCAAGCACUCAGCUGCCCUGAACCCCUCCCCUCUUUCCUGCCCAUAACUUCCUUUCUAAACUAAUCAAAAUAUUCCCCAUACCCAUCCAUUCGACAAGCUUUUAGCCUGUAUUUUCUGCCCAACAACAUGGGCACCCCCUUUUUAUUCAAUCAGCCCCAUGCCACAAAGUUUGGCUCCCCACUAUUACCUUAUUUAAUCCUAAUCCAAUACCCUAUUUGUCAGCUCAUUUAAACUAAUCAUUUCUGUUCUUUUUAACACCCAAAUUACCCCUGUUAAUCCCUGGUUAUCACUGUCUUGACCCUUUGCAACAGUAGGGCAUUUUUGAACUUCUGAAAGUUCAGAUUCAGAGCUGUCCUGGACUGAAUCUUUUCAGUCGUUUUGCAAUGCAAACAAACCAAUUUCAAACAAUGUCGGGCAUUCAGUCAAUGACAGGGUUCAAUCAGUCAUGUGAAGUUAUUAGUCCAUUUGAUCCUUUAGUCAUAGAAAAUUAAUCGACGACGUUUAUCAGGUCGACUAUACUAAUUAUAACCAGAUAUAACAAGUCGAUUAAAUAAACAAUACGUACGGGGUCCUAAAUAACUUCAGCUAACUUUGCACAAUACUGGGAGGCCAUACGAAUUAUUUAUAUGACGACUAAUCUAAUCGAACAUGGAUAUCACAGAAUGCAUUCAGACAUGCGCAGAAACAAUCGACCAAAUAAAAGGCCUUACAAAGAUGGAAGAAAUCAGAAUGAAAAAUACCAGAAAUACAAAACAAUCAUAACAGGUCAUGCUAACAAACUCAAUUGGUGUUCAAAUAAAACAGAAACAAAAAAGGAAAACUUACUAAAAAUGUUCAAACCAAGCCGACCCAAGUCUGAAUUAGAUUUGACCAUUUGAGGCCAAACAAACUUUAACCGGGAUGUUCUCAACCGAGAACACCUUGAUUAAGGUCUAUUAGACCUCAAGCCCCUAUUAAAACUGGCCGGAUUCCCCAGGCUCUGGUGUUCUAGGGUUUGGAUCUUUAGAUUUGAGAUUCUAGAAGUUGUGGGUAGAUUCGGACCAAACCAAGCUUGGUUUGGUCACGAGGGAAGUCAGGGGGCUGUCUGGUGUGAAUCUGGUGUGGUUUGGUGUAGGUCAGAGUUCGACUCGAAUCUUCAAAUGAAGAUUCGAGAAACUAGGGACUGAUUCGAAGCACAAGGAUAUCAGAUCCAUGUUCAGGGCAGUGGGGUGGUCCUAGGGUGUUAAGGAGGUGGUCACCGGCGUCCAUGUUGUCGGCUUUACGGUGAAGGUGUAUAGGGGCGGCUAGGGUUUCAUAGGGUUCAGGGUUUGGUGAAGAAGAUGAGUGAAGGGGGGUUAGGAUAGGGGGCGGGGUAGCAAGGUUAGGCCUUAUAUAUGCUUUAGAGUUUUAGAUCCUGGCCGUUGGAUCAAGGGAGAUCUAUGGCCAGGAUCUAUUCUUUAGGUAGGACGUCGUCGUUUAGGUGGGAAGGUAGUUAAAACCGGGUAGGGAAAUGGGUCGGAUUAAAUUAACGGGUCUAAAGGGCGGGCCUCGAUCCGUUGGAUCAAAGGGAUUGGACGGCUCAGAUCAAACGCCUUGAACGGCGUCGUUAUGGUUAAAUGGGCGAUCUGAUCAAGACCGUUCAUUUAAAUCAUAUCAAUGGCUCUAAUAGGGAUGCUGAUACGGCAUCGUUUGAGUCAGUGCUUGGGCAGGCCUGGCUUGGACUGGGUCUUGCAUUGGCUUUGGGCCUCAUUUGGGGCCCAAUCCGAUUUCUUCACUUCUUUUUUUUUUCUUUUCUUUUUUUCUGAUUUUAAAAUACAACUAAAUUAAACUGAAUUUAAAACACUCAUUAAUCAACACCUAAACAAUUAUCACACACAUAUUAAAAUUUUAAAAAUGGUUAAAUCAUAGCCUAGAAUAAAAGCUGCAUAUUUUUGUGAAUUUUCUUUUAAAGACCGAAUUAUGGCCCGAUUACACACGGCAUACUUAUUUUGUAUUUUUGUUGGAGAAGAUUCAAUGAAAAAUGGAUAGAAACACAAAGGACUACCAGCACAUGUCACGUAAAAAUUGAAAAUUUGUAUGGCGAGGCCAUUUGCAAUUAUUUUGAUUUCUUUUGGAGUGAUUGUUCGUGAAGCAAAAAUCACGUGCUUACACCCGUUACUCGUUUUUUGGCAUUUUAAGGUCAUAAAACUUGAAUUCCGCCCGAUUCCCAGAUUUUCGUAUGCUAUAACCCACACCUCCUACAUGGGCCGGGGCGAUCGGUCCCCGAUCGCCUAAAACUUUGCUAGCCCAUCAAAAAUGACCUAAGAAAAAAUAGCCACCGCCCACCACAACUGUUACUCGUUUUUUAGCAUUCUAGGGUCGUAAAACUGGAAUUUUGCAUGAUUCCCAAAUUUUCGUGUGCUAUAGCCUAUGCCUCCUGCACGGGCCCCAGAUAUCGGACCCGGAUCGCCUAAAAUAUUCUCGGCCCGACAAAAACAAUCUAAGAAUAAUAGUUACCGCCUCGCCAUUAGCGUUACUCGUUUUUGGGCGUUUUAGGGUCAUAAAACUGGAAUUCUGUCCGAUUCUCAAAUUUUCGUGUGCCUCCUGCGUGGGGCCGGGCAAACAAAUUAGGGUCGCCUAUAAUUUUUCCAGCCCAUCAAAACGACCGAAGGAACAAUAGUCACCGCCUCUCCAUAAUCGUUGUUCGGUUUUUUUGGUGUUUUAAAGCCAUAAAACUGGAAUUCUGCGUGAUUCCUAGAUUUUCAUGUGCUAUAGCCCACACCUUCUGCAUGUACCCAGGCACCAGGACCCGCAUUGCCUAAAAAUUUUGUCAGCCAUUAAAUAUGACCUAAGGAAUAAUAGUCACUGCCUCGCCAUUACCGUUACACAUUUUUUGACAUUUUAGGGCCAUAAAAUUGGAAUUCGCCUAAUUUUCAAAUUUUAAUGUGCCCAAGCCCAUGCCUCCUGCACAUGCACGGGUCCGGGAGCCCGAAUCUGGAUCACCUAAAAAUUUUCAGGCCCAUCAAAAAUGAUCUAAGGAACAAUGGUCACAGCCUCUCCAUGAUCAUUACUCGUUUUUUGGCGUUUUAGGGCUAUAAAACUAGAAUUUCCCCGAUUCCCAGAUUUUCGUGUGCUAUAUAGCCCACACCUCUUGCAUGGGCCCGGACGCCUGAACCUGGAUCGUCUAAAAAUUUUCUAGACCAUAAAAAAUGACUUAAGAAAAUAUAGUCACUGCCUCGCCAUGACUGUUACUCAUUUUUUGGCAUCUUAGGGCCAUAAAAUUGGAAUUCUGCUCAAUUUCUAGAUUUUCGUGUUCUAUAGCCUGCGCUUCCUGCAUGGGCCCAAACAAACGAGCCUGGAUCGCCUAAAAUUCGUCGGCCCAUAAAAAAUGACCUAAGGAGCAAUAGUCACCGCCUAGCCAUGAUCGUUACUCGUUUUUUUGGCAUUUUAGGACCAUAAAACUGGAAUUCAAACCGAUUCCCAAAUUUUCGUGUGCAAUAGCCUGCACCUCCUGCAUAGGGGCGCCCAAACCUGGAUCGCCUAAAUUGCAGGGCCAUCAAAAAUGAUCUAAUGAAUAAUAGGCACCGCCUAGGCAUGAUUGUUACUCGUUUUUUAGCGUUUAAGGGCCAAAAACUAGAAUUCGGGCCAAAAACUCCUAAUGUUGUGAAUUUCAUCUGCUUACCAGAUGGUUAUGUGACUGUACUGUGCUAAACAAUCAUACUCCACUUGUGAGAUUUUUCUGGUUUGUUGUUAUUAUUGUAUAAACAGAAAAUGUAAAUUAAAGAUCUUCUAAUGACAUGAUUAAUGUAAUCUAACCUAUUAUAGUAGUUUUAGUAUAAUAGGAUAGUUACAAUUUUUUUUCAGAUUACUAUUGAGAAUUCGUCAUAAAUAUUUACCUAUAAUUACCUUAUAAAUGACCUGAUUAUGUAAAUAUUUUUAUACCGUCAAUUUUAAGACUAACGGUCAGUUAUUAAAACUAGCUGCUCCACUUUCAAUAUCCUCCUACCAUCUAAAUUGGUAAUUUUCAUGUUUUUGGCCUUCUAGUAGAUUAUAUGAACUGUGUAAGCUUGUUCCUAAGGCAUGUAGUUAAGAAUUUUGCUCGUAAUAUCGCAAGUAGCUAGACCAUCAACACAUGAUUCGUAUGAGUACAAAAGUGUUCAUAAUAAUAUCAGAUCAUACAUCAAGCUGAUCAUCAACUCAUAUUUUUCCCCUUAAUUAUGACCACUUGGUCUUUUUAUAGAUCCACUUCAGAGGAUUACAAAUAUAGUACUAUUACUAUAUACUUGACUUUAAGUUGCUUUUUAGAGCAAUUAUUUAAGUUCUUGAUAUCAAGCAGAACAAUCCAUACAUAUUAACGUGAAAUGGACGUAGGUCGUUUCAAUUAGUAUGGACUUUCGCCUCUAUAAUUACCUGGAGGAUCAUAGUUGCAAGAGACAACAUAUCCUCCAUUGUUACACUGAACCCUAGCACAUCCAACACGAACCGAGUUACGCCAAACCACCUGAGUAUAGUGUCCACACACCUGUCCUUGUGCACAAGUAUUUGAGUCAUGGUCAUAAUACUGUUUCUCAUCGACCCACAUCUCAACGGCCUUAGCAGCCGUCAUGAAAUCGCCACUUCCCUCAGCUAGGUUUUCGCCGUAUUGACCAUGAGAAUGUACGAGGUUACAAUCUGCAGCCAAUUGGGAAGCAUAAUUUUGCGCAUAGGCUGCUACCUGGUCGUCCCAGGUCAAAGGUUCUACACCUACAUCUGCACGAGCUGUGUUAUGGGCAUCCAAAUAGUCUUGUUGAGAAUUUUGGGCACGGCAAGAGUGGGAUAUUACUAGGAAUAAGAGAAGUGUAGAGACAAGAAGAA
This 10957-nucleotide long non-coding RNA is filed under the name Nicotiana tabacum (common tobacco). RNAcentral describes it as "long non-coding RNA (NTAB_LNC003244)". The record is from RNAcentral. Lineage: Eukaryota; Viridiplantae; Streptophyta; Magnoliopsida; Solanales; Solanaceae.